Long non-coding RNA from Eriocheir sinensis (Chinese mitten crab), 2312 nucleotides. RefSeq lists it as uncharacterized. NCBI's taxonomy places the organism in Eukaryota, Metazoa, Arthropoda, Malacostraca, Decapoda, Varunidae. The record is from RefSeq and is a predicted model, not a curated record. The transcript has 9 exons.
AAGACAAGGAUACACAAGAGAAAAAGAAAAGGCAAAGAGAAAGCAAGAAAAGAGGAAGAGACAGGGGAAAGGAUAAAAAGGGAGCCGCUAGAACGCGUCGACUCGGUUUGUUUACGUUUUUUCCCGCGGGAAGGUGCACGUGUGGGCGGCGUUCAAAAAGAUCUACGUUUAUUUCACGUUCCUGACCUCGCCCGCCUUUAAAACUGUGUGAAGAAGCUGAGCAGUGUCUCCCUGGCCUGGGCGUGGAGUGAGCUGGUCCCCUCAUCACCAGCACCAUAGACCAGGGGAUGAGGUGCUCCUGGCCCUCCACCACCACCUGGGUGCCGGCACACCCUCCUGGGCGGACCAGAGGAUGUCCACUGUGCUGGUCACUCUACACUCCUAUCAAGGCUGUGCUGUACAGGCUCAGUGACGACUCAGACACACGUCAAUUAUCUUCCCUCGGGCUCAGAGGCACUGACAGGCUUCUACAGUGGUAAGGCUGAAGCGACACAUCCAGGCGGGGGGCACCUUUGACAGCCCAGGACACACCUCCGCCCCCGCCAGUAACCUCAUCACCCAACUGCUAGUUCUGGACCCAGUGCAGUGGUCCAACCCAGAAGAGAUUGCUGCCACGAGUACCUGGCUAGUGCCCCCCCCUCGUAUGUACUAGCCCUGACCUUCAGCGACGACCCCGACCCCAUGGAGGGGCCUUCGUGGUGCAGUGGUUAGCACACUCGGUUCACAAUCGAGAGAGCCCAGGUUCGAUUCCCGGGCGGAGUGGAAACAUUUGGGCGGCUUUUCCGAUACCCUAUGCCCCUGUCCACCCAGCAGUGAAUGGGUACCAGUGUUCCUGUGACCACGAGUACCACAAGAACAGCGCUGUGCUCCAUGUGGAAGGCUGUGACCUGCCCACCGUCACGGCCGGAGGUCACCAGGAGCAACACAGCACCAGGAGCCCGGCAGCCAAGAGGAGGAAAACAGCCAAGAAGGGGACGACUUUGAGUGUUACGAGGAGGAAAACAGCCAAGAAGGGGACGACUUUGAGUGUUACGAGGAGGAAAACAGCCAAGAAGGGGACGACUUUGAGUGUUACGAGGAGGAAAACAGCCAAGAAGGGGACGACUUUGAGUGUUACGAGGAGGAAAACAGCCAAGAAGUGGGACGACUUUGAGUGUUACGAGGAGGAAAACAGCCAAGAAGGGGACGACUUUGAGUGUUACGAGGAGGAAAACAGCCAAGAAGGGGAUGACUUUGAGUGUUACGAGGAGGAAAACAGCCAAGAAGGGGACGACUUUGAGUGUUACGAGGAGGAAAACAGCCAAGAAGGGGACGACUUUGAGUGUUACGAGGAGGAAAACAGCCAAGAAGGGGACGACUUUGAGUGUUACGAGGAGGAAAACAGCCAAGAAGUGGGACGACUUUGAGUGUUACGAGGCCGAGAGCAAGACCAGUGAGGCGGAGGGCUGUGAUGGGGCGGACCACCCCAUGCCCGCCCAGCACUUCCAGCUCCCACUCAGAACAGGGAAAAAAAAUGUCUGGAGUGCAAGGAGGAGUUUUCCACGAAGAAGGCCACCCUGAGCCACCGCUGCCACCAGACCAAGAGGAAGGAGCGUGAGAAAGUGACCUACUCCUGCAAGGGCUGCCUGCGUAGGUUCCUGCUGCGGAGGGAGUACUUGAAGCAUGCCGACGCCUGCUGCAAGAACACUCCCGUCGCCUGUAAUCUGUGCCUGGUAAAGUUACCCAGUGCUGCUUACCUGCCUGGCCACCUGGCUGCCCUGAAGCCUCCUCUCAGCAAGAUACCCAUUUAUCCUCCAGCCUGAAAGAGAGGAUGAACAGCCAGGGGAGCCGGGCGCUGGCUGACCAGAGGCAGGAUUGAACCCGGGCCAUGGAUCCACAGCUAGGAAUGCUAACCAUUACACCACCUGAGACUGUUGAGGCCAAGGCAGACAAAGAAUCAGUAGGAGAGUGUAACAAAACAGACUACACUAAAAUCAGACUGAGAAGUGGAGAAAGCUGGGACAGACCUCUUGUCAUGCAGUGUAGCUAUUAUCAGCUAAAGAUGAUGACAACAUGUUUUUUGUGUAGACUGUGAUGUUGUUGGUGGGUGAUGUGUGUGUUGAGGCUUCCCUGUCCCUUGCAGGGCAGCACCUUGUGUGAGGCGUGUGGCCGAGGGUUCAGCAGGAAGGAGGCGCUCCAGCGGCACAAGGCGAGAGUCCACGGGAAGGCCCACGGCAGCCACCAAUGUGGCCGCACCUUUCCCCACACCUCCCUGCUGGCCGAGCACCUCAGGCCACACCAGGGAUGCACUUGUCCGGAAUGUUCCAAGGUGU